RNAcentral lists this ribosomal RNA (440 nucleotides) under uncultured bacterium. Its description in RNAcentral is "partial 16S ribosomal RNA". It matches the Rfam family "Bacterial small subunit ribosomal RNA", at positions 338 to 795 of the family's 1533-position model. The record is from RNAcentral.
CCUACGGGAGGCAGCAGUGAGGGAUCUUGGUCAAUGGGGGAAACCCUGAACCAGCAACGCCGCGUGAGGGAAGACGGUUUUCGGAUUGUAAACCUCUGUCAUAUGUGAGGAAAAUGACGGUAGCAGAGGAGGAAGCUCCGGCUAACUACGUGCCAGCAGCCGCGGUCAUACGUAGGGAGCAAGCGUUGUCCGGAUUGACUGGGUGUAAAGGGUGGGUAGGCGGGCCUGCAAGUCAGAAGUGAAAUCCAUGGGCUUAACCCGUGCACUGUUUUUGAAACUGUAGGGCUUGAGUGAAGUAGAGGCAAGCGGAAUUCCCGGUGUAGCGGUGAAAUGCGUAGAGAUCGGGAGGAACACCAGUGGCGAAGGCGGGCUGCUGGGCUUUAACUGACGCUGAGGCACGAAAGCGUGGGUAGCAAACAGGAUUAGAUACCCCUGUAGUC